AGAAGGGCUAGCCCGGAGACAGGAGGGGGAGGUCCGAGGAGGGGAUCCCGGCGAGGGAGACGCGGGGCGAGUGGCCUGGGCUCCUCCUUGGCUUGACCCAGCUUAGACUUUCUCAAACCGAAGUCAUUCUCGCUGGCUCCUGGCGACUCUCAUCCUGUCCGCUGUCACCCUUUCGUGAUUGACCUGAAAUCACUUCGUCACUGCAGCCGCACCCUAAGCAUUCAUCUCAUAUCUGUGAUGUUUGCUGUGCUCCUUAUGUUUGCUCUAAUAUGGGUUAAACCAAAUUCAACACCAUCAAAAUAAUGUUCUUCCAUUUGCACACCCACUUUCACAGUAGCAGCGUUCCCAACAGCCAAAAGGUGGGAGCAGCCCACGGGUCCACGGACGGGUGAAGGGGUGAGCAAACAGUCUAUACGGACAGUGGAGAGCUCUUUAACCGCAGAAAGAAGGAAAUUCUGCAUAUGCUGCAACAUGGAUGAAAGGUGAACCCUGACAUUAUGCGGAGUGCAAUAAGCUAGUCACAAAAAGACAAAUACUGUAGGAUUCCACUUACAUUCUGUGUCCAGAGUAGUCAAAUUCAGAGAGACAGGAAGUAGAAUAGUGGUUGCCAGGGGCUGGGAGGAGCCGUGAAUGGGGAGGUAUUGUUUAAUGGGUAUGGAGUUUCGGCUUAGAUUGAACUGUACGCUUUUUUUUUCCUUCCUUCCUUCCUUCCUUCCUUCCUUCCUUCCUUCCUUCCUUCCUUCCUCCCUCCCUGCCUCCUUUCUUCUUUCCUUCCUUCUUUCUUUUCCUUCCUUCCUUCCUC
This 802-nucleotide long non-coding RNA is filed under the name Homo sapiens (human). RNAcentral's name for it is "non-protein coding lnc-TECPR2-1:1". Lineage: Eukaryota; Metazoa; Chordata; Mammalia; Primates; Hominidae. The record is from RNAcentral.